This 253-nucleotide ribosomal RNA is filed under the name uncultured bacterium. RNAcentral's name for it is "partial 16S ribosomal RNA". It matches the Rfam family "Bacterial small subunit ribosomal RNA", at positions 524 to 776 of the family's 1533-position model. The record is from RNAcentral.
UACGUAGGCAGCAAGCGUUGUUCGGAAUUACUGGGCGUAAAGUGUGUGUAGGCGGUGCUCUAAGUUCGGUGUGAAAUCUCCUGGCUCAACUGGGAGGGUGCGCCGGAAACUGGGGUGCUGGAGCGCGGGAGAGGAAAGCGGAAUUCCUGGUGUAGCGGUGAAAUGCGUAGAUAUCAGGAGGAACACCGGUGGUGUAGACGGCUUACUGGACCAUAACUGACGCUGAGACACGAAAGCGUGGGUAGCAAACAGG